Molecule: ribosomal RNA, 247 nt
Filed under: uncultured bacterium
Lineage: Bacteria
Description: partial 16S ribosomal RNA
Rfam family: Bacterial small subunit ribosomal RNA
Source: RNAcentral
UACGUAGGGUCCGAGCGUUGUCCGGAAUUAUUGGGCGUAAAGAGCUCGUAGGCGGUGUGUCGCGUCGGCCGUGAAAACCUGCAGCUUAACUGUGGGCUUGCGGUCGAUACGGGCAUCACUGGAGUUCGGCAGGGGAGACUGGAAUUCCUGUGUAGCGGUGAAUGCGCAGAUAAUCGAGGAGAACACCAAUGCGAAGGCAAGCUCUCGUGGGACGGUACUGACGCUGAGACGCGAAGCGUGGGAGCGA